UCACCUCACCUCACCUUCUUCGCCUUCUUCUUCUUCUCGCCCGGUGACACCCGAGAGCAAACGAGCAAUUCACCAGCUUGCUUCCUCUUGUCUGCUGCAAGGUGCUGAUCGGUGAUCGGGCCUUUGAUCUUUCCGGGAGGGAGGGAAGCCGUUGUGUCAGGCUGGCUCUCGACAUGUUCAGAUCCAAGGUCCAGGAGAUGAUCCUCAGGAGGAGGUCCAGGUCCAUGAACGGCGCCGGCUGCAACUUGUCCACGGCCCCGUGCGACGGUGGAGCCGGCAAGGGUGCUGCUGCUGCUCGUGCCACGUCGUUUGCGGUGCCGAGGCUGCUGCACUCGUCGUCGCUCCCGGCCGGCGGCCGCGCCGCGGUCGUCACCGGGAGCCCCGCGCGGGACCACGAGGCGAUGUCCGCCUACGCCAUGAGCCCGACGUCCGUGCUGGACGCGUCGGCGGCCUUCGGGUCGCCCGGCCCGGCCGUGGAAGCCGGCGGGGGCAAGCGCCGGCCGUGGUGCGACGGGUGCGCGGGGCCGCACGGGCUCGCCGACGUGCUGGACUGCGCCCACGAGGCCCAGCGGAGGAAGAGCGNNNNNNNNNNNNNNNNNNNNNNNNNNNNNNNNUCCUCCGGGGCGCCGUCAGGGCGCAGGCGCCGGCCCUGGUGCGGUCCUCCUCCCUGGACCGGCGCGUGGAGUUCGGCGUCAAGAACAAGAGCUCGUGGCUGCCGCUCCGCGCCGCCCGCCCGGCGGCGGCGGAGGCAGAGGAGGACGGGCCGUCGUCCGAGGACUACACCUGCGUCAUCUCCCGCGGGCCCAACCCGCGGACGGUGCACAUCUUCGGCGACCGCGUCGUGGAGGGCGACCGCGUCGUGGGAAGCCCGCCGCCGGCGCCGGCGCGCCAGGGCAGAGGUUUCCUCAGCCUGUGACGCCAUGCCUGCCAUCCAUAGUAGCAAGUCCUCUCCUCCAUGAUGCGUGCGUGCGUGCGUGCUCCGGUAAAGUAGUAAGUCUUGUUGAUGCUGCCAUAGUCUUGUCGUCCUAAUAUUUGUUCUUGGAUCGAUCUUGAUGAGAUGAUCAUGCUUCUUGGAUCAGAUGAUCAAACAGAUUGGGUUUUGUCUGUAAUAUAGGAAUUCUGCCUCUCUCUCUCUCUCUCUCUCUCUCUCUCUCUUUGCUGCAACAUGCUUGUACCAGAGUAAGAUAAGAUCACAACCGAACAUGUAAAAUUAGUACUAGCUUCUGAAUGAAUUGAUCGUUGAAAAUGCACUGAAUUCCUCGGCUGCCAGAGCUGCUGAUCAUCAGAGCAGUAGCUAGUGAAUGAAUUGAACACUGAAAAUGCACUGAAUUCCUCGGCUGCCAGAGCUUAUGAUCAUCAGAACAGUAGCUUCUGAAUGAGUUGAACACUGAAAAUGCACUGAAUUCCUUGGCUGCCAGAGCCAGCUUGAGACGAUCGGAAUCUGAGAACAUUACAUUUUCCAAUGAAGCCGGUUGCAAUCAAUCCAUCAAUCAAGCCAGGCUGCUGCUCUACUCUACCCUACCUCAGCUAGCCUUGCUGCAAGAUGCUCACUGCAUCUCCUCCAAUAAUUGGUGGCUUCCUGCAGCAGCAGUCGCAUAGAAGAGGGCAAUGAUUGAUGUCCCCUCCCCUGCCUGCGCCGGGCCCUGGGCCCUGGCCACUCGAGAGACUUGAGAACACGGCGGUGCCUUGUCCUAGUCAUGGGCCCGGAUUUGGCAUACGGUUGCAGCUAACCACUGCGGCGGUGGGCCAGGCCCCUCUCGUCUCGUCUAAUCUGAUCCGAUCCGAUCCGAUCGUCUCCGCCUCCCCCUCCGGGCUUGUGUUUCAGUUUCUUUUUCCUGACGCCGAUGGAAUUGAUGCCCACUCCGCCUCGCUAUCAUCUUGUUUCUUUCUCUCUUUCUAGAAUUCUAGUGAUGAUCAAUGCAUCGUGCUAUCAGCUGAUGUGGACCGUGGUGGGCAUCUAAUGAGUUCUUCUUAGUCCACUCCACUCUCUCGCAGGGCAGGUAGAUAGAUCAAGUGG
This 2017-nucleotide long non-coding RNA is filed under the name Hordeum vulgare. Its description in RNAcentral is "long non-coding RNA (HVUL_LNC013871)". Lineage: Eukaryota; Viridiplantae; Streptophyta; Magnoliopsida; Poales; Poaceae. The record is from RNAcentral.